This 440-nucleotide ribosomal RNA is filed under the name uncultured bacterium. RNAcentral describes it as "partial 16S ribosomal RNA". It matches the Rfam family "Bacterial small subunit ribosomal RNA", at positions 338 to 795 of the family's 1533-position model. The record is from RNAcentral.
CCUACGGGAGGCAGCAGUGGGGAAUAUUGCACAAUGGGGGAAACCCUGAUGCAGCGACGCCGCGUGAGUGAUGACGGCUUUCGGGAUGUAAAGCUCUGUCUUCAGGGACGAUAAUGACCGUUCCCGAGCUGGAAACCACGGCUAACUACGUGCCAGCAGGCCGGGUAAUACGUAGGUGGCGAGCGGUGUUCGGAUUUACUGGGCGUAAAGGGAGCGGUGGCGGACUUUUAAGUGAGAUGUGAAAUACUCGGGCUCAACUCCAGGGCUGCAUUUCAAACUGGAGGUCUAGAGUGCAGGAGAGGAGAAUGGAAUUCCUAGUGUAGCGGUGAAAUGCGUAGAGAUUAGGAAGAACACCAGUGGCGAAGGCGAUUCUCUGGACUGUAACUGACGCUGAGGCUCGAAAGCGUGGGGAGCAAACAGGAUUAGAUACCCGGGUAGUC